AGAACGAACGCUGGCGGCAGGCUUAACACAUGCAAGUCGAACGGUUGUAGCAAUACAGCAGUGGCAGACGGGUGAGUAACACGUGGGAACCUUCCUAGGGGUACGGAACAACUCAGGGAAACUUGAGCUAAUACCGUAUACGUCCGUGAGGAGAAAGAUUUAUCGCCCCUAGACGGGCCCGCGUAGGAUUAGGUAGUUGGUGAGGUUAACGGCUCACCAAGCCUACGAUCCUUAGCUGAUCUGAGAGGAUGAUCAGCCACACUGGGACUGAGACACGGCCCA
RNAcentral lists this ribosomal RNA (282 nucleotides) under uncultured soil bacterium. Its description in RNAcentral is "partial 16S ribosomal RNA". It matches the Rfam family "Bacterial small subunit ribosomal RNA", at positions 26 to 333 of the family's 1533-position model. The record is from RNAcentral.